UAAAAUAUCUUACAUUUUCAUUUGGACCUUAGCAUGGCAAAUUAUAUGCUAUUUAGGUAAAGGGAGUCUUCCCCUAGUGGCUUUAGCAGCAGAGGAAGUCACUGAUUGGAACCCGAGCAGAACAGUCACUCUUCCUCCCUCCGGAAGAAAUUACAGAAGAAACGGGGAAUACCUGCUUCUGAUUCCAUAGCUGAGGGACAGAGAAGGAGAUGUGGAGGAGAGUUUGGAGUUCGUCGGGGACAUUUGCAGGGACGAUGAUGGCGCAGGAGAGCCCCAUGGUGUCAACAAGGUUGCCAUGUCCGGUGGGACCGACAAGCUCAUUCUCUUAUUCUACAGCUACCUCCUCCCCACCUUCUUCCUCCUCCCGUCUCCUUCUCCGCAGGUACUGUCUCACCUCCAAAAAAUCGAACGAACAAACAAACAAACAACCUUAUCCCCCGUCACUGGGACAAUUACUGAAUUUCAUGUUUUUGUUUUUUUCACCCUUGUUUUUGGGGCUAUGUCUGCAGCCUGAAUGGCAUCCUCUCACUUCCGCUAUCCUCCUCACAAUCUUCCUGCGUUCCCUGGUUGGAUUCAUGAUACAGAUAUUCGAAUUCACUGGCAUUGAUUAAAGCUCUCCUACGCUUGGUACCGCUCUUUUGAAUCUCAUCCCAGCUUUCACUUUCAUGCUCGGCAUCAUUUUUAGGUGCAACCCGCGUCCCUGUUCCUUCUUCCCUCCAGUUUUGGUAUUGGUUGGAAUUAUAUGAAGCUCCUAUAUUUUCGGUGGGUUCUAGUAUGGAAAAGUUGGCGCUUAAAAGCUUGAGCAGCCAAGCAAAGGUCGGUGGAACCGUACUUUCAAUUGCAGGAGCAUUCAUAGUCACUUUCUACAAGGGCCAACUGCUCACAGUGUCGUCAACCCUUCACCUCCCUCCACAUUCAAGUUGGGGUCCUUGGUGGGUUCUUCGUUGCAGGCGAAGCACUAAUGAUCUCAUCAAGUUACAUUUUGCAGGCGUUCAUCCUCAGGGAUUACCCCGGUGGUGCUAAUCAUCAUGUUCCACAUCAACUUAUUCGGGACCGUCUUCGCUGCCCUGCUCUCGCUAAUUGCAGUGAGGGAUCCUGAGUUGUGGGCCCUAAAGGUCGGUUCGAGCCUGGUCGCGGUCAUUUACUGAAUGUUAGCGAGAAGUUUGUUGCUAGUCGCCAUGACCAUGUGGUGCGUAAAGAGGAGAGGGCCUGUGUAUGUUGCAAUUUUCAAGCCCCUAGCAAUAGUCUUUGCAGUGGUGCUCAGAGGCGUUUCUUAGGUGCCCUACUAUGCCGUGGCAGCUUGCUUGGGGCAGUGGUGAUAGAGGGAGGAUUCUAUCGGUGAUGUGGGGAAAGGCCAAAGAAGUAGAAGACAUGGCCAGUGGACCACUAAAUGCAGGGGAGGCUCUGCCUCAGACAAGCCAUAAGAUCCCCUUGCUAGCUGCACAGCAAAGCUGAAAAAAAAACUCCCAAGCAACCAUGGUUGAGGAUUCCGGGCGCCGGGCCAAGUCAUACGAAGAAUCGAGGAUAUUUCUUCACUUAUUGGGGGUUUUGGGUAUAUGCUUGAUAUCGUCUUCGGAAAGUUAUAACAGAAUACAUGUAAUACGCAUUUGAUGAUUCGCGAUUUGUAGCCAACGGGUGAGGACAUAUUGUUCCCAUUAGUUCACUCCACUAAACGAUUCACAUGACCAAGGGAUUGU
Punica granatum (pomegranate) is the source of this 1697-nucleotide non-coding RNA. The record is from RefSeq and is a predicted model, not a curated record. NCBI's taxonomy places the organism in Eukaryota, Viridiplantae, Streptophyta, Magnoliopsida, Myrtales, Lythraceae.